Molecule: ribosomal RNA, 225 nt
Filed under: uncultured Acinetobacter sp.
Lineage: Bacteria; Pseudomonadati; Pseudomonadota; Gammaproteobacteria; Moraxellales; Moraxellaceae
Description: partial 16S ribosomal RNA
Rfam family: Bacterial small subunit ribosomal RNA
Source: RNAcentral
UGCGUAGGCGGCUUUUUAAGUCGGAUGUGAAAUCCCUGAGCUUAACUUAGGAAUUGCAUUCGAUACUGGAAAGCUAGAGUAUGGGAGAGGAUGGUAGAAUUCCAGGUGUAGCGGUGAAAUGCGUAGAGAUCUGGAGGAACACCGAUGGCGAAGGCAGCCAUCUGGCCGAGUACUGACGCUGAGGUACGAAAGCAUGGGGAGUAAACAGGAUUAGAUACCCUCGUA